RNAcentral lists this long non-coding RNA (206 nucleotides) under Elaeis guineensis (African oil palm). Its description in RNAcentral is "long non-coding RNA (EGUI_LNC045332)". Lineage: Eukaryota; Viridiplantae; Streptophyta; Magnoliopsida; Arecales; Arecaceae. The record is from RNAcentral.
GUGGUCUAUGAUAGAAAAAGAAGGAGAGGAUGCCCAAGAGUUGGGCACCCCUUGUCUUGCCCAGUUUGGAUUUUUCUUGACUAGGUAUUUGACCUAGACAAGGAUUCUUCAUAUCUUUUUAUUUAAGAUAAAUUUUUUCUUAUAAUUUUUAUAGAUUAUAGAGCAUUGAGAGACCUUUGGGGUAUGUGAAAAUUAUAGAGAAAGAG